RNAcentral lists this ribosomal RNA (613 nucleotides) under uncultured bacterium. RNAcentral's name for it is "bacterial SSU rRNA". It matches the Rfam family "Bacterial small subunit ribosomal RNA", at positions 31 to 654 of the family's 1533-position model. The record is from RNAcentral.
GAACGCUGGCGGCGUGCCUAACACAUGCAAGUCGAGCGGACCAGAAAUGGAGGUAACUUUAUUUCUGGUUAGCGGCGAACGGGUGAGUAACACGUGGGUAACCUGCCCUCAGGAGGAGGAUAACUCGGGGAAACCUGAGCUAAUACUCCAUAAGACCACGAGCUGAAAUGCUUGUGGUAAAAGAAGCAAUUCACCUGAGGAUGGGCCCGCGGCCUAUCAGGUAGUUGGUAGGGUAAUGGCCUACCAAGCCUAUGACGGGUAGCCGAGCUGAGAGGCUGGCCGGCCACACUGGGACUGAGACACGGCCCAGACUCCUACGGGAGGCAGCAGUGGGGAAUAUUGGGCAAUGGGCGAAAGCCUGACCCAGCGACGCCGCGUGGGGGAAGAAGGCCUUCGGGUUGUAAACCCCUUUUGCAGGGGACGACACAGGACGGUACCCUGCGAAUAAGCCACGGCUAACUCUGUGCCAGCAGCCGCGGUAAGACAGAGGUGGCAAGCGUUGCUCGGAUUCACUGGGCUUAAAGGGCGCGUAGGUGGUUUUGUAAGUCUAAGGUGGAAUUCCACAGCUUAACUGUGGGACUGCCUUUGAUACUGCAAGGCUUGAGUCAGGCAG